UGGGGAAUAUUGGACAAUGGGCGAAAGCCUGAUCCAGCAAUGCCGCGUGUGUGAAGAAGGUCUUCGGAUUGUAAAGCACUUUCGACGGGGACGAUGAUGACGGUACCCGUAGAAGAAGCCCCGGCUAACUUCGUGCCNG
This 139-nucleotide ribosomal RNA is filed under the name uncultured bacterium. RNAcentral's name for it is "partial 16S ribosomal RNA". It matches the Rfam family "Bacterial small subunit ribosomal RNA", at positions 355 to 511 of the family's 1533-position model. The record is from RNAcentral.